This 66-nucleotide small RNA is filed under the name Bacillus infantis NRRL B-14911. RNAcentral's name for it is "Bacillaceae-1 RNA". It matches the Rfam family "Bacillaceae-1 RNA". Lineage: Bacteria; Bacillati; Bacillota; Bacilli; Caryophanales; Bacillaceae. The record is from Rfam by way of RNAcentral.
UCAAAAGGAACGCAGACUAUGAACGCCCUGUCCUGUGCCAGCGUCUGCAUGACCAGCUUCUUCUGG